This 123-nucleotide small RNA is filed under the name Arabidopsis thaliana (thale cress). RNAcentral describes it as "ATSL258760". Lineage: Eukaryota; Viridiplantae; Streptophyta; Magnoliopsida; Brassicales; Brassicaceae. The record is from RNAcentral.
CCAACCAAUAUUAUGGUGACACGUUCUGUUUCUUCCAGUAUCAGAAAAAUGUCUUCUCACAGACAUCAAAGCCACAGUGUCUCUCCUGUUCAGCGCAUUAAUUCCCAUUUUUCUAUUUUUUAA